RNAcentral lists this ribosomal RNA (485 nucleotides) under uncultured bacterium. RNAcentral describes it as "bacterial SSU rRNA". It matches the Rfam family "Bacterial small subunit ribosomal RNA", at positions 27 to 521 of the family's 1533-position model. The record is from RNAcentral.
GAUGAAACGCUGGCGGCGUGCUUAACACAUGCAAGUCGAACGGACGGAUUGGAGCUUGCUCCAUGAAGUUAGUGGCGGACGGGUGAGUAACGCGUGGGUAAACCUGCCCUAUGCAGGGGGAUAACGUUUGGAAACGAACGCUAAUACCGCAUAACCUAGUUGGUUCGCAUGAACCGGCUAGCAAAGAUUUUUAUCGGCAUAGGAUGGACCCGCGUUGGAUUAGCUAGUUGGUGAGAUAACAGCCCACCAAGGCAACGAUCCAUAGCCGGCCUGAGAGGGUGAACGGCCACACUGGGACUGAGACACGGCCCAGACUCCUACGGGAGGCAGCAGUGGGGAAUAUUGCACAAUGGGCGCAAGCCUGAUGCAGCGACGCCGCGUGAAGGAAGAAAGUAUUUCGGUAUGUAAAACUUCUAUCAGCAGGGAAGAAAAUGACGGUACCUGACUAAGAAGCCCCGGCUAACUACGUGCCAAGCCGCCGCGGU